CAGUCGCCACGGGAAUACAGAGGGUGCGAGCGUUAAUCGGAUUUACUGGGCGUAAAGCGUGCGUAGGCGGCUUUUUAAGUCGGAUGUGAAAUCCCUGAGCUUAACUUAGGAAUUGCAUUCGAUACUGGGAAGCUAGAGUAUGGGAGAGGAUGGUAGAAUUCCAGGUGUAGCGGUGAAAUGCGUAGAGAUCUGGAGGAAUACCGAUGGCGAAGGCAGCCAUCUGGCCUAAUACUGACGCUGAGGUACGAAAGCAUGGGGAGCAAACAGGAUUAGAUACCCCGGUAGUCCCUGUCUCUUAUAU
RNAcentral lists this ribosomal RNA (301 nucleotides) under uncultured bacterium. Its description in RNAcentral is "partial 16S ribosomal RNA". It matches the Rfam family "Bacterial small subunit ribosomal RNA", at positions 509 to 809 of the family's 1533-position model. The record is from RNAcentral.